GGCCGCAAACUUUACAAAUACAGAAUUACUCUUACGUACUCCGAGAUGACACAAGGAGAAAGCUACGCGGUUUGGGGUCAAAUGAUGUCUUUAUUCUGCUCGAUGAGAGGCUUACAGGUUGUGCAAAGACAUCAACGGCCAAGCCGAGCGUAGUGAGGUGGCCCCAAACCGCGUAGCGGAAAAUGUGUGGAGAAGGGUGGUAUUGUUAUUGUA
Long non-coding RNA from Branchiostoma floridae (Florida lancelet), 213 nucleotides. RefSeq lists it as uncharacterized. Lineage: Eukaryota; Metazoa; Chordata; Leptocardii; Amphioxiformes; Branchiostomatidae. The record is from RefSeq and is a predicted model, not a curated record. The transcript is spliced from 2 exons.